GGCGCCGGAGCACUGCCCUCUUGGGCGGGAAGUUUGAACGACGAUCCACCAGGGCGUCGGGCAGGUGGGGCGGCCCUACCGGGCGGGGUUCUGCAGGCCGGGGCAUGGUUUUAAGAACGUCUCCCCCCAACCUGGUAGCGGAUAUCCCUCCAAAUCUCUAGUACGGUACAUGGAAGGGGGUCCCGACGGCUCGGGCCCAGCGGCGGCCGUGCAGCCCGCCCCGGAGGAAGGCCCGGGGACCCCCAGCCCGUCGGGCUGUACCUCGCGGUACACCCGGCUCUGCUUUCUCAUGUAGACGUGGGCGAGCUCGCCCGAGGCCGCCAGCGAGUAGAUGUUGCUGGUAAAUGGUAGCCUCGAUGCCCCGGUUCAGAGAGGAGCGGAAAGAGCGUGGCCCCAAGAAGAACCCCUGCGCCCGGCUCAGCUCCCAGAGGGCCCGAAACUGGGACUGGAAAUCUCUGCCGCCUUGGGACCAGCUCGCCCUUCAGCCUCCCCGCACUCCCACUGGCCUGAUACCCCGGAUCUAUGGCCAUUAGCUAGUCCCAAUCGAGGGGCCCUUGCACUCCUCGGGACUGUAACUCCUGGAGUUGCCUGGCUCUGAACCUGCUGUGAGGAGGGGCCAGCGAAGAUAACCCAGAAUGGAUAUGGGACUUCAGGUGGAACACAGUGAUGCUGAGACACAAGGAGCAGAGGAAUAUCACCUGCUGGAUGGUUAAAGUUAGUCUCGCCUGAUUUCCCCAACAUCAUAAGGUUUGUAAUGUCUAGGCUGACCACAACUGUUACGCAGUUUUGGUACUCAGUUCAAAAGUGUCCCCCUUCCAUUAUUUAUUUUCAAAAAGGAUUAAUUUCUAUUUCAAAAAUAUCCUCCCAUUGACUUAAAGUAAGGAACAUUUUUUUAUUUGGCGUGCCCAGCUGUAUUUGCAGAGGAGACUUGGAGACCUGACCGACUAACAGCAUUGAUGAGAUGCCUUCUCCCCCAUCCGUACCAUCCCUUGGGCGACAGUAGGGAGGGAAUCUCAAAAAUCAUUGUACAUCUCUCAGAAUAAAGAUCCUUCCUUGUCA
Canis lupus familiaris (dog) is the source of this 1059-nucleotide long non-coding RNA. RefSeq lists it as uncharacterized. The transcript is spliced from 2 exons. NCBI's taxonomy places the organism in Eukaryota, Metazoa, Chordata, Mammalia, Carnivora, Canidae. The record is from RefSeq and is a predicted model, not a curated record.